CAUGGCCUCUUGCAACCCGCAAAUAAGAGGUCCAACCUGCCCAGUGACAAUAAGUUUAACGGCCGCGGUAUUUUAACCGUGCUAAGGUAGCGUAAUCACUUGUCUUUUAAAUGAAGACCCGUAUGAAAGGUGUCACGAGGGCCCUCCUGUCUCCUACUUCAAGUCUGUGAAAUUGAUCUGCCCGUGCAGAAGCGGGCAUACCCACAUAAGACGAGAAGACCCUGUGGAGCUUAAGACUACAACCAAUCAUGCCUAAUAACCUGCCCUCCAAACGGCACAAAAGGUCCAAUAAGCUUAAUGACAAUGGUUUACUGUCUUCGGUUGGGGCGACCAUGGGGGACAGAAAAGCCCCCAAGAAGAAGCAGGGGACCAAUUACACCGAUCCCUAAGAGUCAAGAGCUACAACUCUAAACAACAGAAACAUCUGACUAAUAAUGAUCCAGGUAACAAACCUGAUCAACGGACCAAGUUACCCCAGGGAUAACAGCGCAAUCCUUUCCCAGAGCCCAUAUCGCCGAAAGGGUUUACGACCUCGAUGUUGGAUCAGGACAUCCUGGUGGCGAAAAUUCUACCAAGGGUUCGUUUGUUCAACGAUUAAAGUCCUACGUGAU
RNAcentral lists this ribosomal RNA (611 nucleotides) under Petrocephalus sauvagii. RNAcentral describes it as "partial 16S ribosomal RNA". It matches the Rfam family "Bacterial large subunit ribosomal RNA", at positions 1814 to 2604 of the family's 2925-position model. Lineage: Eukaryota; Metazoa; Chordata; Actinopteri; Osteoglossiformes; Mormyridae. The record is from RNAcentral.